This 1615-nucleotide long non-coding RNA is filed under the name Sus scrofa (pig). Its description in RNAcentral is "lncRNA (ENSSSCG00015080395.1)". Lineage: Eukaryota; Metazoa; Chordata; Mammalia; Artiodactyla; Suidae. The record is from RNAcentral.
AUGGGGACAGUGGCUUCAAACUUUCUCCGGCACAAGGUGCCCCGUCCCCAGAGGUUUCUGGAUCGGGCUUCCAUGGCAGCAGGCGUGACCUGGCCAAGAGCUGAGCCAGGCCUCCUGCCUGUAAGGGCCGCUGGCCGGGAGCAGAGCAGGAAGGCUGGACCCCAGCCCUGCUGGACACCUGCCUGGCAGAGGACACUCGAAGACAAGCCAGGCCAAUCCAGAGCUGAGUCCAGAGCUCCCAAGAGGCCCCCGACGGCGGAGCACCACGUCGGCCACGUGGACACCACAUGGCACCCCACGGCCGCCACCAGAGAAGCCCCCCUUCCCCGGGGCCUCGCCUCCCUCGGACACCAUCCCCACCUGUCAUCCCUCCUGAGUGGUAUGUGGACUGUCCAGGGGGUGAGUCAGGUAGAGGCAGGGGCUCCGAGGGGCAGUGGCCAGAGAUGCUCUGGGGAAGGGCGAGGGCGAUGCCCUGCGGGGAGGGGACUCCGGACACACCCUCGGUCGCACGGCCCACCCUACUGGGCUCGGCUGAGGAAGGCGGAGGGUCCGGCAUCGAGGCGACAGCUAACUGCUCGAGAGCCCAGAAGGCAGUGGUGGAGGGUGGCCCUCUGAUGGCCGGGGCCGGGCAGCACCCUGGACGUCCAGGCAGACAGGGAAACUGCUCAACCCAGUAACAUGGACACGUGGCCUUUCCUGCCUGCCCUUCCCUUCUCUGGGGACGUGGGGCCAGGAGCACUCCCGGGGCGCAGGGCUCGCCUCACCCGGGGCCCAGCCCUGCCAGGGGAUGGGGGCCCUGAUUCUGACCCCCAGCUCAGCCGGAGGCCAGUCCUGAGGAGUGAGGCCAAGUGAGCCCGAGGGCGGGCGGAGAGUGUGGCCCUGUGGCCGCGCCCUGUCCAGGUGGGCGUGCGGUCUGCAGCUCGGGGCCCCAGGACCUCAGAUGGCUCCCGGACCAGAUGCACAGCAGCAAGGGGCUGGGGGGGGCUUCCUGUCCCUGACCUGUCCCCUAACCUGGCCUCCGUCUCAGAGCCUAGGUGGUACUCCGUGACCUCGGGCCUUGGGGGUGCGCAUGAAAGACAGGCAGGGAGGCAGUGUUCUUCCUUCUGGGCCCCGCUGUCCCCCUGCCCCAGCCCCACCUGGGUGGGACCCCGGCCCACAGGGGAAUGGGCUUCUGGAUCACACCACAGCCCACCCCACACCCCCUUCCGGAAGCACCUGUGUCGGCGGGUCUGGAGCAUGGGGUGGGGUGCCUGGGGACGUCCCCGGGGAGUUGGGUGCACAGGGGGGCCACCGCUUCUCCCUCAGGGCAGCAGAUUGGGGUCCGCGGUUCCGACGCCACUUGCCCCCCUCCUUGAUUAAAGACGUGAGGCGCCUCUGUAUCCCCCCCAGGGAAGGGGGGGCAGGCCAGGAAGGACCCAGCCAGCCCCGCUAGCCCUCGUCUGACGAGCAGAGCUGCCACCUUCCAAGAAGGGGCCACAGCUCAGCACGCCCCAGAGCGAGAGGGACAGGGCACCAGGCCGGGACCUGCCCAUCUGUGCCCCAUGUCCACUUGAGGUCAGGGGAGACUGGGGGCCCCCAUGAGGGCCCGGGGGAGGGGCAGUCCCCGAGAGGGGGG